UGGAUGUGUGCGUUUAAAUAUAAAAAUAUCACGUGUACACUCGCCGCUGUUAACCAUUCAUUCGUCUAGCCUUAACCUCAUCGCAUGUCGAUUGUUUACCUCUUUAUACAAACACGUAUACGUGUAUUAUCUAAGAAAGUGUGUAGCUUUUCCUGCAGUAGUGGUGUAGGUUGUUCCCUGACACUGACGUUGGUGGUGUGCGCGGGAGGUUCGAUGUAUUUUCAGAGAUGUAACAACCCAGCGUCGUUUUUGUGUGGACUGUCGCCGAGUGAAAGUUGUUCUUAUUGACUUGACAUUAAAGGUGUGUUUGUUUGCCCUUGUGUUAUUGGCAGUACAUCAUAAAUGCGAGGAAUCGUUCGCCGCUUCCGUGAUUUGUGUUUACUGUGGAUGUUUAUAAAAAAAUAAAAUGCCGUUCACCCUGAAAGAAGGUGGUUUCGGCGUGGGCGACUAUGUGGCGUUCGGCGUGCUGUGUACCGCGUCCUGUGCAGGCGGGAUAUGGUACAGCGCGGUCGGCUCCCGAAGCAAAGCCGUAGUGGACAUCAAAGACUACCUGCUGGGCGGUAGAGCCAUGUCUACCUUCCCCGUCGCCAUGUCCUUGAUAGCUAGCUACGUAUCGGGCGUGACGAUCCUGGGCACGCCGGCGGAGAUCUACAACUACGGGUCGCAGUACUGGCUGGUGGUGGUGGGGGUGGCGCUCAGCUGCGUCAUCGUCGCCACCGUCUACCUGCCCGUCUUCUGCACGCUCCGGCUCUCGUCGUCUUAUGAGUACUUGGAACUGCGGUUCAAUCGUCAUGUUCGAGCGGUCGCAUCAGUAUUAUUUCUUUUGGACGAAGUGCUCUUUCUACCGAUGGUUGUGUAUGUACCGGCGCUAGCAUUUAAUCAGUUGACUGGUUUUAAUGUGUUCGCUGUUGGCGGGAUAAUGGUGGCGAUCUGUGGACUGUAUACAGUAUUAGGUGGGUUGAAGGCGGUAGUGUGGACGGACUCUGUCCAGACCGGCAUCAUGUUUAUCGGCGUGCUGCUGGUGGCGGCCGCGGGAACCCUGGCUGCUGGCGGCGUGGGUGCCGUCAUCGACACCGCUAGUGCGUCGGGGAGACUCGACGUUUCUAACUGGAACCUAUCCCCGUACGAGCGUCAGACGGGCUGGGGCGCGGUGGUGGGCGGGACGCUGUACUGGACCUGCUUCAACUCCGUCAACCAGACCAUGGUGCAGCGGUACAUCGCACUGCCCAGCAAACGCAAAGCUAUCAUAGCUCUGGCGAUAUUCUGCGCGGGCGCGAUGCUGGCGAUAUCGCUGUGCGUGUGGUGCGGCCUCGCGGCGUGGACGGCCUGGGUGCAGGGAGGCUGCGAGGAGGCCGGCCUGCCCAUCGUCGACGACCGCCUGCUGCCUGCCUUCGUGACGUAUGUGGCCCAGGUGCAGCACCUCCCCGGACUCGCGGGCGUGUUCCUGGCGGGGGUGUUUGGUGCUGGGUUGAGUUCGUUGUCAGCUGUGCUGAACGCGUGCGCGCUGGUGGCGGUGGAGGACAUAAUGCACGGCUGGCUGCGGCUGCGCCUGCGCCCGCUGACCGACGGCGUCAUCGCCCGCCUCGUCACCGCCACGCUCGCCAUCGUCUCGCUGCUCAUGCUGAUUGUUAUUGCCAAGCUUGGUGGUGUUUUAGGUGUGGCGACAGCUUUAUCAGCGAUCGCGGCUAGUGCCACGUGCGGUAUCUUCACCCUCGGCAUGUGCUGCUGGUGGGUGGGGCCUCGUGGGGCCCUGAUCGGUGGGGCCGCAGGGGCACUCGUAGCGGGGGCCACGUCGCUGGGCAGCCAGGCCGCCGCCGCCGCAGGCUUGAGGGCCCCCGCCCUGGCUGUGUCUGCUGUUUGCGUCCUCAAUGAAACUAUGAGUACUGCUCACACGCCGACUUUGGAUCCUACAACAGUGUUUCCACUGUUCCGCGUAUCGUAUCACUGGAUCGCUCCGCUUGGUCUAGCCACGACACUAGCAGUGGGUGCUAUAGCGGGCUGGGCGCUGGACGGGAAGGAACAGCUGCGGUUGGACGCGGAGCUGUUCACGCCGGCGGUGUGGGGCUGCCUGCCGCGAGCAGCACACGACUGCCGCGGCGACACGCGGCGCGCGGCUGCGGCCAAGCGACUGGAGCGACCAGCGCCUUCCUCGCCGCUUAUGCUUGCGGCUGUUGAUAAGAUCGAAUUGAGCGGUGAAUCGAGUUGAUGGGAUGUGGGAUGAUCAUGUAAGGCGUAGGCGAAUUGAUUACUUGUGUCAUAGACUCAUAUGAAUAUUGCCAAUGUAAAUAAUACUUAAGUUAAUUUAUUUAUAAGUUGUAAAGGUCGUAUAGUGAGUUCGUAGAGUGGGCAGGUCGCACCGCGGCGGACCGUUGGCGUUGGGGUCAAUUCAGAUUUCAGACAGCAACGCGAAUUGCUAAAUUAUAUU
This is an RNA transcript of Aricia agestis (brown argus), 2425 nucleotides long. It is a transcript of the gene named sodium-coupled monocarboxylate transporter 1-like, with no coding region annotated. The record is from RefSeq and is a predicted model, not a curated record. NCBI's taxonomy places the organism in Eukaryota, Metazoa, Arthropoda, Insecta, Lepidoptera, Lycaenidae. The transcript has 14 exons.